This 486-nucleotide ribosomal RNA is filed under the name uncultured bacterium. Its description in RNAcentral is "partial 16S ribosomal RNA". It matches the Rfam family "Bacterial small subunit ribosomal RNA", at positions 28 to 523 of the family's 1533-position model. The record is from RNAcentral.
GAUGAACGCUGGCGGCGUGCUUAACACAUGCAAGUCGAACGGAAAGGCCUCAGCUUGCUGGGGUACUCGAGUGGCGAACGGGUGAGUAACCCGUGGGUGAUCUGCCGUGCACGUUGGGAUAAGCCAGGGAAACUGGGUCUAAUACCGAAUAUGCCCACUUCUUGGAUGUUGUGGAGGAAAGCUUUUGCGGUGUGGGAUGAGCCUGCGGCCUAUCAGCUUGUUGGUGGGGUAAUGGCCUAGCAAGGCGGCGACGGGUAUCCGGCCUGAGAGGGGGUACGGACACAGUGGGACUGAGAAACGGCCCAGACUCCUACGGGAGGCAGCAGUGGGGAAUAUUGCACAAUGGGCGCAAGCCUGAUGCAGCGACGCCGCGUGGGGGAUGAAGGCCUUCGGGUUGUAAACUCCUUUCGCUAUCGACGAAGCCACUUGUGGUGACGGUAGGUAGAUAAGAAGCACCGGCUAACUACGUGCCAGCCGCCGCCGUAA